GGAUUUAGCUCAGUGGUUUGAGCGCGGUGCUGGAAAUAAUAACCAACACCGAGGUUGCGGGUUCGAUUCCCGCUCGAUCCC
RNAcentral lists this transfer RNA (81 nucleotides) under Apaloderma vittatum (bar-tailed trogon). It matches the Rfam family "tRNA". Rfam says of the family: Transfer RNA (tRNA) molecules are approximately 80 nucleotides in length. Their secondary structure includes four short double-helical elements and three loops (D, anti-codon, and T loops). Further hydrogen bonds mediate the characteristic L-shaped molecular structure. tRNAs have two regions of fundamental functional importance: the anti-codon, which is responsible for specific mRNA codon recognition, and the 3' end, to which the tRNAs corresponding amino acid is attached (by aminoacyl-tRNA synthetases). tRNAs cope with the degeneracy of the genetic code in two manners: having more than one tRNA (with a specific anti-codon) for a particular amino acid; and 'wobble' base-pairing, i.e. permitting non-standard base-pairing at the 3rd anti-codon position. The record is from Rfam by way of RNAcentral. Lineage: Eukaryota; Metazoa; Chordata; Aves; Trogoniformes; Trogonidae.